Molecule: long non-coding RNA, 8209 nt
Filed under: Malus domestica (apple)
Lineage: Eukaryota; Viridiplantae; Streptophyta; Magnoliopsida; Rosales; Rosaceae
Description: long non-coding RNA (MDOM_LNC008047)
Source: RNAcentral
ACCCAGCUCUCUUGAGGGUUGUGGAGUGUAGCUAGUAUUGAACAUGGAGAUCAAUUAUGCUCUGGCAUUGCUCUUAGUCCUCAUUCUCAACUUGGGUAGUUUGCUCACUUCUCUUGCUAACUCCUAUUGCCCACCACCAACAUACCCUCCAGUUCCUCACUUGCCACCCAAACACCCUCCCCAUGUAACUCCACCCUUCCACCCUAAACCACCAAAGAAGCCACCACCAUAUGUCAAACCACCUCAUGCAAAGCCUCCUCCUCAUGUACCAAUCAAACCCCCUCAUGUUAAACCACCCAUUGUAAAACCACCUCCUUAUCCGAAACCUCCAGUUGCCAAACCACCUCCCCAUCCCAAACCUCCUGUUGUCAAACCACCUCCCCAUCCCAAACCUCCUGUUGUCAAACCACCUCCCCAUCCCAAACCUCCUGUUGUCAAACCACCUCCCUAUCCCAAACCUCCUGUUGUCAAACCACCUCACCUAUCCCAAACCUCCUGUUGUCAAACCACCCUCCCUAUCCCAAACCUCCUGUUGUCAAACCACCUCCCUAUCCCAAACCUCCUGUUGUCAAACCACCUCACCAUCCCAAGCCUCCUGUUGUCAAACCACCUCCCCAUCCCAAACCUCCUGUUGUCAAGCCUCCAGUUGUCAAACCACCUCCCCAUCCCAAACCACCAGUUGUACUGCCUCCACCAUAUACCCCGAAGCCCCGGUUGUACUGCCUUCCACCAUAUACCCCGAAGCCCCCGGUUGUGCUGCCUCCACCAUAUACCCCGAAGCCCCCGGUUGUGGCCUCCACCAUAUCCCCCGAACCCCCCCGGUGUAUGUGCUGCCUCCACCAUAUACCCCGAAGCCCCCGGUUGUACUGCCUCCACCAUAUACCCCGAAGCCCCCGGUUGUACUGCCUCCACCAUAUACCCCGAAGCCCCCGGUUGUACUGCCUCCACCAUAUACCCCGAAGCCCCCGGUUGUACUGCCUCCACCAUAUACCCCGAAGCCCCCAGUUGUACUGCCUCCACCAUAUACCCCCAAGCCCCCAGUUGUACUGCCUCCACCAUAUACCCCCAAGCCCCCAGUUGUACUGCCUCCACCUUCACCACCUGUUGUAGUGCCAAGCCCACCAUCAACACCAACCCCAACCCCAGUUGUCCCAGUGAAGCCUCCUCCACCCACUGAAACACCAUGCCCUCCUCCACCACCAAAGGUAGUACCACCCCCAACAUCACCACCUCCAAAGUCGCCACCGAAGGACACGUGCCCCAUCGACACCUUAAAGUUGGGAGCUUGUGUAGAUGUGCUGGGUGGACUUAUCCACAUUGGAAUUGGGAGCAGUGCCAAAGAUGCAUGUUGUCCGGUGCUUCAGGGACUGGUGGACUUGGACGCUGCUAUUUGCCUUUGCACCACGAUCAAGGCUAAGCUUCUCAAUAUCAACCUCAUCAUCCCCAUUGCUCUUCAGGUGCUCAUUGAUUGUGGGAAGACACCUCCCUCUGGAUUCCAGUGUCCUGCAUAGGUGAUCAUCAUGUCAUAUUCCUAAAUCACAGUUAGUGGUUGUUAAUCAUGUCGUCAUUUAGCAAUAUGUGGCGCCACCUAGCCAAUAAUAGCAUGUCAAAGCGUGGAAGUAAAAACUGCUUCUUAAGGAUAAAUAUCUGUAAUUUGGUUUUGUUUUGCUUAUUUGAAGAGUGCAUCAGGUCGAUCGAAACACUGUGGUAAUUAAUUAAGUCAUGUUAAUUUGGUGAGCUGUGGAUGUUUCUAUUUUGGAAUGUUAUAACUUGAGCUUAAAGAACUUGAUUAAUUCACUGUUAAUCUGGUUUUCUCUGUAGAAUGACUUGGAUGGAACCACCGUAGUGUUUCGGUCUAUUAAUAUGAUAAAAACUCGUACAUAAUAUUAUAUUAUUAUAUCGAAACGCUAAUAACAUAGCAAUGUAGGUUCGUAGCUCUCCCUUGUCGGUGGCUAUGUAAAGUGUGUUUGCAGGUGCACGUGAUUGUGUACUGCAUUAUUGAGUUACGUUUUGACUGCAUUCGUACCUAAAGAUACAGUAGGAAUAAACUAUCAACGUCAAGUGCCACAUGCAUGUCGAUGCAUGCAUGCAUGCAACACAUAUGUCAACAACUUUCUUAGGUCCUGCUGAAUCACAUGCACCAAAUCCAAAGGGGAAUCGGAAUAAUAUUCUUUCGAUGUUUCAAUUAUUUGAUCAAUUUAUCCCAAACAAACAUGUUAGCGAUCAUAUGAUCGAGAUCGACCACCAUAUCGACAAUUUAGAGAGAGAAAAAGAAUUUUAAAAAAAUUAAUGAAAAAAGCUUGAAAAUUUUUAGUUUUAACGAUAAAGACAAAAUAAAAUGUAAAGUGAAUAGCACUAAAAUUGAUUUUUUAAUGUAAAAAUAUGAUUUUUCUUUUAAAUAAAUAGUACUAGAAACUUUCCAUUAAAAUUUCUAUAAAAAAAAAUGAUAUGUCCUCACCUAACUUUCAAUGGUGUUACUAAAACAUUUCAAGUUCCAAUUCAAUUACUUCUGAUGAGCAAUGUUUGUCUCACAUGCUGCCAUGCAAUACCAAACUCUCUACCGAAAGCAAUCUUCUUUGCGAAGAUUCUAAAUAUCUUCAUAUCGUAUAUGUUCAUCGUAUAUUGUGUGAUCAAUUUUUAUCAGAUACGGUUUAUAUUUAAUUUAAAAUAAAAAAUUUAAAAAAAUUUAUAUACAAUAAAUGUACGACAUGAGUACAGAGAGAAUUUGGAAUGAAAAGAAUCAUCGUUCUACAAAAAGCACUUAAUGUCACUCCUACAGUCUCAAAUAAUCUUUUUAUAUAACGGAGUGAAUGUGGGGUAUUAUCUGUCGUUGAACCCAAUAACAAAUAAAUCCCCUCGUUGAAAUUUUGUUUGACUCUUAUAUUAGUUUAAGACAAAUGAAAGAAAAAGACCUUUAAUAAUUGACACAAACCAAAACCAAUGCUAAUAAAUUUAUGGAUAAAUUUAUCGAGCCCACCAAAAUUUUCCUAUUAUUUAUCUCAUUCAUCCCUACCAUAUAUGUAUGUAUGUAGUCAAAUAUAUGAAUGAAUAAGGUAUUGAGUUUUUACCUAUAUGUCUUGAGUUCGAAACACCUUCCACCCUUAAAUUAUUGUAAUAGUUUCAAACUUUCUCCCUUAUCUUAAUAAUAAUAUUUGUAUUAAAGAAAAAAAAACCAAAAAAAAAAAAAAACCACAAUCCCUACUAUAUCUUCUCAUGUUUUUAUCAAAAUUUCAAAAACAUGCUUGAAUAUUAUGGGUUGCAUACGAACCAACAUUUGGGCUACCCACGUCAAACAGGCCCAUAUUUAUCCCCAUCGUUUUGCCCAAAUUUUCACGAAAGCCCUUGCUCCGGAGCAAACAAAGUGAGACCUUUGGUUACUUCUUGAGGAAGAAGACGACGAAGAACUGAAGAAGAAAGAGGGAGCUGAGCCGAAUAGGCGGCAAAGCUAUAAAAUUUCUUUGACUAUCUGCACGAACGGAGCGUGAGCGAAUCUGGGUAAGAUUCGCAUUCGCCAACGAUCGUUGAUAAGACCUAAUUCUCAAUUUUCUUAAUCAACCUGCAAGUAGCACAAAAAAGCUAUGGAAGUAGAGGGAAGGAGAGAUGAAGGAGCAGAGCUCCAAAUAUUUUUGUAUUUAAUUUCUUUGUUGUAAAUUAUGAUCUCCCUUUUACAUCCAAAACAUGAGCUUAUAUAAGUUUCCACUAAAACAAAUUGCCAGCUGGCAAUAACUAAUCACUCCCUAAUACUCAUAUUAGUCUGCUAUUACAUCACUAAUUGUGAUUGAAAUAUAGGAUCAUAACAAUACUUCCCCCUUGAAGAACAACCUUGUCCUCAAGGUUGAAAAUUGAAAAACUUAUUUGAACGAGCAGAAACUAAGGAGUCUUGCAACAGAAGGGAAGCUGCAGGGAAUACAAAUACAAUCUGCAGGUAGCUCACAACUUGAGGAGAUGAGCCUGACAGCACCCCUAAGCUGGUUAUGGCAGCUCCCCAUAACUUGGUAAGUGAGCACUUGUUACCUGUAGCCUUUUCAUAAAUUUCGACCCACGAUAUCAUUUCAAUUUCCAUGCUAGUUGCCAAAAAGCAUGCAACAACAUCAAAUGGAGAAAAUGGGCAAACUCCCAGGGAACCUGACAGAAGAUUCUCAACCAAUGCAUCUACUAUAGCAAUUGGACCAUUGCCAAGAAUUAUAGCCUUAGAGAUGGUUCUGAGCUUGAUAUCCUCGAGAGCAAGACGAGAGGUCUGAUUGAGAAGAGACUGUCGAAGAUUAACUAUCCUCUUCUUAGGUCCAACACACCAUUCAAUGUAGCCAUCCUUCACCACACCACAGUGAGGGAAGCCACCCAUGGGAGUGAUGUCUUUCUCAGUCAUCUUCCCCUCGAGGAAGCAUAUCUCAUAGCCUUUUUCAGUGAUACCGGGACCACCUAAUGUCUGAUUGUCAAAAAACUCCAUUUUCUGAAAUAAGCUAAUGGAUGAGACCAGCCUAUAUAAGAUAUUGAAAACUGCCAUUCUUUCUGAAUCAUUGAAAUCAUUGAACUUUAAACCUUCAUAAGCAACACCGAUAUUAUGCAUGGAAGAUUUAGAGGGCCUGAGCAAACCUAAAGCUUCAACCAUGUCCUUCAUCACCUCUGUUAAGGUGUAUAGUUGGCAUUUGAAUACAUAAGGUGGCUGAGUAGUAUCAAGUUCCAAAAAUUUAAACAGCUCAUUUUGCCAACUUACACUCAUGGUAAGACAAAUAUACAAAGACCAUGCAAAGACAAAUGUGAUGUACAUACUUCCUGAAGAACACGCAAAGAAAUAACACCAGCAACAACCAAAUGAAAUUACACCAGAAGCAACCAAUACAUUGAUGUGUGCCAUAUUGUCUAACAAAAUUACUUUCAGCUUAUGACAGACUUUGUAGAUACCUUCAUAAUCGUACAACCAUGCAUAUACACUAGCACCAUCAACUCUUAGAUUUGGCCUGAAUACUAUUACCUCUUCACUACCAAAAGUGAGCAUCCGAAUACGUCUGCCAAUUUUCUUAUGAUGCAACUCCAGCUCUACCAAAAUCCAUUUUUUACCAAUCACAUAAGAGAAAACACGAUGACUUACACAAUGUUGCUCAGGUACAGUCACAUAUGGUGUUGUCCGAGAUUUCCAUUGCUCCUUGAAAUGCAUUCUGUUUGUACUAUACUUAGGGCCUCCGUAUUUAGAUCUUGUAUAAAUACUCGGAUGACUUAAAUGUAAUUAUGUAAUAAAGGAAUGGGCAAAUAUGUAAUAAGUAAGGAGUCCUUAUUCUAUAAAAGGACCCCUCACCCUCACAAUUAAGGAGGCCAAUUCCUAAGCCUCCUUACAUCCCCUAAGCUCUAAGCUAUCUCAAAGCUCUCACUCUCAUAUUCAGAGCUCUCUCUCCCUCAUAAAUACAAUAUCAGUGUGGACGUAGCCCAAAUCUUAGGGUGAACCACGAUACAUCUUGUGUUAUUUAUAUUUCUUGUAGAUUCACGGUCGGAUUUACGUUGUUCCAAGACCUCCGGUUUUGUGCAUCAACAUUUGGCGCCGUCUGUGGGAAUCGAUACAAAACUAUGUCAGUUCUCUUUCAUUUUUUCACCUCCACCAUGGAUCUGCAAAAUUUACAAAAACCCAACAACCCAAAGCUUUCCCGGAAAAACCCAAGAAACCAGUCCCAUAUCUCUAUCUCUCUUACUCUCCGCAACUUCCACAGCACGCAUUCCAAACCAUCUCUACUCUCUCUCCAUGCCCGUUGCUUCCUCCACACGUACAUCUUGUCAUCUAUAAACCAUAGCUUUUCUGCAUUUUAAUUCACAACUCCGACGUCGAUUUCUUCUCCAGAAAUCUAGAUUCUUCGAUAAUAUGGCAGCCAAAAGGAGUGUGUGCGUGUGCUUCGCCGUAAUUUUCAUCUCGUCGGUUCUGGUUUUUUGCGCUGAAGCAUUUACAUUCCUAGAUUCAGGUGGAUUACUUCAAACCCUAUUCCUAGCAAACGGUCUCUUAGCUGACCAUCCUCACUCGGCCGGACCGCCACCGCCAGAUUCCUCAAAAACUCAAUUCCAAAUCCUCCGAAUCGCAGAUCUAAACCCACCGUCAAUCCGAAUCUCCCAUGCGCUGCAAUGGCGAAACUGAAACAAUAGCGACUGAAAGCAUAAAAGUCUCCAAGCGCAGCUGAACAGCUUGUGUGGAGCUCCAAUGGCGGCAGACGAUGAACUCCCUGAAAGCCUGUGGCGUGGCAGUAAGGAGGUGGUUAUGGUUUUUAAGAGGCUGGAAAAAGAGUACGAGGGCAUGCAAGGAGGUCGAUAUAGCAGGACUAAAGCUAGAUGAAGAAACAAAGUCUCAAAUGUUGUUGCAAUUAGAGGAAGAAAAAACGCUGCUCCUAGUGCCACAGCGUCCCUGCACAAUUGAAAAUUGACGGAUAUGUAAGUUUCAAUUCUUACAGGUAACUGGAAUAUGAAUUCAUUACUAAUAGCGCUUACCAGUGGCGUGUCAACUUCAACAAAUAUGGAGCUUAGAUUGAACUCCCAGUCAAGUUCACAUAUAUGAGAUAUGAAACUUAGCAGUUCAGGCAUGGAAGCUGAUCUGUCCAUCAAGAAAAAUAGUGUUUCAUGCAAAAGGCUUGGGGGUAUCUUAGACAACAGAAAGGAAGGCUCUACAUCAUUAGGAGAUGUGUAAUCAUGCUUCUCUGCUGGCAUGACUAAUUUUCCACCCAUCAAGUCUUCAACAUUUGUAGUUUGUUCAGAAUGUGAAAAUAUCAAAGCAGCAUAAAUUUGAAGAUGCAGAAGAUGAUCACCGUGAUCAGAUUAAGUAGAUCACAACCUCCAGGUUUGAUAUUCACAGUCAAACUUUGGCCGGAAAGCUACCGGAGUCCGAUUCAAGCAGGCUACAAGUGUUCACAUUUCUUAUGAGAACAAUAACAUGGAUAAGCAGCAGGAGGAACCCACUUUGAAAACUGGCAGCACACAAACAGACAGAGACAGAGACGCAGUGGAAAGCAAAAGGGCAAAGAGAAAAAGAAAAAGAAAAAGGAUGAGUGAUGGGCACGACCAGGCUGUUCAAGAAAAGCAAGUGGUUUGCAAACAAAAGAUACCUUACAAAGCAACAUAGGUGGACAGAGAAAGAGCGGGGAGGAAAGCAAAAGCAAGGAAUAAACAUCCCACCAGAAUGACGUGAUUUACUUUUCUUGUUUUUUUUAAUGAUGUAAUUUAUUUUUCUUAUCUUUCGGAGACAUCUGUAUAAACUUCAUCAGAGAGUAAUAAAAAAAAACGGCAAGCCCAAAAUAAUGGGCUGCAAUGUUAUGUGGAGGGCGAAGGCCCAUAUGCCCAAAAGAGCCAGGCCCUAUGGCUCCAAAUUUAUUUGGCACCCUGCCGCUAUUAUCACCAACCAGGUGAUCAAAAAUAUGCCCAGUACUCCAAAAUUAUUAAGCAACCUGCCGCUAUUAUCACCAACCAGGUGAUCAAAAGUACAUCCAGUACUCCAAAACUAUACAUGAGUAUUACUCAUGUCAAUCAUACAUAAACAUUUCAUGAGCAUCACUCAUGUCAAUCAUACAUAAACAUUCAUGACCAUCAUUCAUGUCAACAUUCAUGAGCAUCACUCAUGUCAACAUCCAUGAGCAUCACUCAUGUCAUUCAACAUAAACAUUCAUGAGCAUCACUUAUGUCAAUCAGCUUCAAAAGCUUCAUUACAGAGCGCUAGCUUCAAAAGCUUCAUUUACAAAAGCUCUAGCUUCAAAAGCUUCAUUUACAGAGCUCCCGCUUCAAAGCUUCACUUGCAAAGCUUCACCUACAAAGCUUUAGUGCAGGGUAUACAAAUACCACUUCCGAACAACCGCCACUUUGGCCCAUACAUGGAUUCAAUUUGAAGUCUCCAGCCAACAGACUCUAUUGACCGAAGACUUGAGGGACUACACUAUACACCAUAUAUUGGGCCUCAACUGGGCCUCAUAAAAAAAAUACUUGGGGGACUUAGCCCACACUUAUGUAUUGAGGAGCGAGCCCUUAUUUUAUAAAAAGGACUCCCUUACUUUCAUUAGAGAGCACUCAUUCUUCAUGUACUGAGGAUCGAGCCCUUAUUUUAUAAAAUGGACUCCCUCACUAUCAUUAGAGAGCAUCGCCGCCUACUGAGCAACCGCCUUGCCGCGAGCAUCAACUCUAGCCCAUCAUUUAUGUAUUGAGGAGCGAGCCCUUAUUCUAUAAAAGGGACUCCCUCACCUUCAACACCACA